RNAcentral lists this ribosomal RNA (253 nucleotides) under uncultured bacterium. Its description in RNAcentral is "partial 16S ribosomal RNA". It matches the Rfam family "Bacterial small subunit ribosomal RNA", at positions 524 to 776 of the family's 1533-position model. The record is from RNAcentral.
UACAGAGGGGGCGAGCGUUGUUCGGAAUUACUGGGCGUAAAGGGCGCGUAGGCGGCCUUCUAAGUCGAACGUGAAAUCCCCGGGCUCAACCCGGGAACUGCGUCCGAUACUGGAAGGCUUGAAUCCGGGAGAGGGAUGCGGAAUUCCAGGUGUAGCGGUGAAAUGCGUAGAUAUCUGGAGGAACACCGGUGGCGAAGGCGGCAUCCUGGACCGGCAUUGACGCUGAGGCGCGAAAGCGUGGGGAGCGAACAGG